CAAAGGAGUGAUCCGGUGGCGGAUGGGCAUGCGGCGCAUUAGCUAGACGGCGGGGUGACGGCCCACCGUGGCGACGAUGCGUAGGGGUUCUGAGAGGAAGGCCCCCCACACUGGGACUGAGACACGGCCCAGACUCCUACGGGAGGCAGCAGUGAGGAAUAUUGGUCAAUGGGCGGAAGCCUGAACCAGCCAAGUCGCGUGAGGGAUUAAGGCCCUGCGGGUCGUAAACCUCUUUUGCCGGGGAGCAGUGGUCCGGACGCGUCCGGGCCGGGAGAGUACCCGGAGAAAAAGCAUCGGCUAACUCCGUGCCAGCAGCCGCGGUAAUACGGAGGAUGCGAGCGUUAUCCGGAUUUAUUGGGUUUAAAGGGUGCGUAGGCGGGCAUUUAAGCCGGCGGUCAAAUGUCGGGGCUCAACCCCGGCCUGCCGUCGGAACUGGGUGCCUUGAGUGGGCGAGAAGUAUGCGGAAUGCGUGGUGUAGCGGUGAAAUGCAUAGAUAUCACGCAGAACCCCGAUUGCGAAGGCAGCAUACCGGCGCCCGACUGACGCUGAGGCACGAAAGUGCGGGUAUCGAACAGGAUUAGAUACCCUGGUAGUCCGCACAGUAAACGAUG
RNAcentral lists this ribosomal RNA (611 nucleotides) under uncultured bacterium. RNAcentral describes it as "bacterial SSU rRNA". It matches the Rfam family "Bacterial small subunit ribosomal RNA", at positions 202 to 811 of the family's 1533-position model. The record is from RNAcentral.